Molecule: long non-coding RNA, 1860 nt
Organism: Salvia splendens (bonfire salvia)
Lineage: Eukaryota; Viridiplantae; Streptophyta; Magnoliopsida; Lamiales; Lamiaceae
Exons: 3
Source: RefSeq, a predicted model, not a curated record
GAUUCUGAUGAAUUAUUUUGCGAUAUUGAAUAUUAUUUUGAGUUUGAAUGUUAUGUUUAACGUGGUUCUGAGUGUGUUUAGAUUGCAUUUCGAUGUUAUUGUAAUUCAAGUUGAGGUAAUUUGUUUGUUUGGUCUCUGAAAUGGUGUUGUUGCUUGAUGCCCGUAAUCCCCAAUUCUGGUAAUUUCCUGUGCUCGCACGCAUAUCUCUCAUUUUGUAGUGUGACUUUGUACAGGUAUGUCAGGAUCCCUACGCACAUGAAUGGUUCGUGGCCUCGGUAGCCAACGUCAAGGCAUGGGUACUUUUGGUUCUCCAAGACAAAAGUUCCGCAAAGGUGAAAGGUCUCGAAGGAUGUGGACGCUAAGGGAGGAGGAGAUUUUGGCAACCACCCUGCUGGAGCUAGUUGCAUGUGGUUGGAAAUCCGACAACGGUUUUAGAGCCGGGUAUUUACAGAAAAUCGAAGAUAGCAUUCGUGCAGAAUUCCCAAACACAGACCUCAGGGGAAAUCCGCAUGUCCAAUCGAAGAUUUACGCUUAAAAAAAAAGUUACGGUUGUCUUCGUAAUAUCCUAGCUCGUAGUCGCAUCGACUUCAACAACGACGACCAGUAUAGAAUCGAUUGUGAUGACGAACAAUGAGAGCAGAUUGUUCAGGCUGACAAAUAUGCAAAAUUUAAGCGUCACAAGUCGUGGCCCUUUUGGGAGACUUGGAAAAGCAUAUUUGGCAAAGAUCGGGCCACUGGAGUUGCUGCUGAGCAGUUGGAUGUGGUUGCCGAUGCAUUGCGUAACAAGCAAUCAGUGGGGAGUGAAACCAACGAGAACGAUUAUCAUCCUUCCUUUAGGGUUUAGGGUUUAGACUUCCUUGGUGACGAGAUGCCUCUUGUUGCAGAUCAGCCUGAUACAAAUGAUGUCAGCUCAGACACCACUGCGAGGAAGACGUCAAUUAAGAGAUCCUCUGCCCUGAAACACAAAGCCCCGACCAGUGAUGAUGCUCUUAUGGAUUUCCUAGGCAACCUACAUGCCGAGACUAACAAACAUCUCGAGGUGAUUGCAUCACGGAUCGGAUACGAGAGGUACGAACUGGGCACUGUUGAUGGACUGACUCUCGGGGAGAGGUACGAACUUUGUGACAUCCUUUGUGAAAACUCUCAACGCUUAGACAUUUUCAAUGGCAUGCCCCCAACUGCUCGGCUAGGAUAUGUGACCAGGUUUCUCACAGAUUAUCCUAAGGCCUCGUGGCCCUUUUGGGAGACUUGGAAAAGCAUAUUUGGCAGAGAUCGGGCCACUGGAGUUGCUGCUGAGCAGUUGGAUGUGGCUGUCGAUGCAUUGCGUAACAAGCAAUCAGUGGGGAGUGAAACCAACGAGAACGAUUAUCAUCCUUCCUUUAGGGUUUAGGGUUUAGACUUCCUUGGUGACGAGAUGCCUCUUGUUGCAGAUCAGCCUGAUACAAAUGAUGUCAGCUCAGACACCACUGCGAGGAAGACGUCAAUUAAGAGAUCCUCUGCCCUGAAACACAAAGCCCCGACCAGUGAUGAUGCUCUUAUGGAUUUCCUAGGCAACCUACAUGCCGAGACUAACAAACAUCUCGAGGUGAUUGCAUCACGGAUCGGAUACGAGAGGUACGAACUGGGCACUGUUGAUGGACUGACUCUCGGGAAGAGGUACGAACUUUGUGACAUCCUUUGUGAAAAAUCUCAACGCUUAGACAUUUUCAAUGGCAUGCCCCCAACUGCUCGGCUAGGAUAUGUGACCAGGUUUCUCACAGAUUAUCCUAAGGCCAUCUGAAAAGCAGUAGCAUCUAAUGGUACUGUGAAGUAUCCUAGUAGUUUAUUUAUGGUAAUAUGGCCAUAAUGGAGUACAAAAUA